AAAAAAAAAUAAAAUAAAAAUAAAAAUAAAAGCUUUUCAAAAGGCAAAAUAACAUUCCUGUUAAUAGCAUUUGUGAUUGUCUUUUAUGAAAGUGUCUUUGAAAGGGAAUAUGUAGGUGACAGACAGGUAGUGGCAACAGCAGAAAUACAAGAUACUACAAAAUUCUGAAAAUGAAGAAAGCCCCUUUAUUUUUUUAUUUAAGAUAAAUCGCACAGUAGAUGGAGCACUGUUUCCAGCUUAGGUACACCCAGGAUUAUUGUUUUAAAUUAUGAAAUUUACAUUAGAAACAGGUAAUCACAUCAUUCUGUUAGCUUUUCCAGAAAAGGUGAGGUUGUUGUUGAUAACCUUCAAUAUUGCAAGAUCAGUAUACAACUGUUUGCUCUUUCUUUGUCUCUGAAAUCAAUCCAGAAGUUUUUAUGGUUUUGUUUUGUUUUUGCAGUAGUGAGCAGACUUUUUAAGCAGGACUGUAAAUGGUCAUCUAAAAACAAAAGUUUGUGCACUUUUUUUCUAUUUUCUUCUUAAAGUGUAUCCUCAAUGGGUCCUUUUUAUGUUUUUGUUAACUCGAGUGAUAUCCACUAGGUGGCAGGAACAACCACAAGUUUAGCAGAAUGCUUGAAAAUAUGCUUGUGUUAGUUCAGUAGAGGAAGCAGCACAAGAGUGAUUAAUUCAGCCUGAUCUAUAAUGAACUAUGAGAGUGCAUGUUCUUCAGAGUUUCACUCGAAGGGUCAUCACAUUAAUUGCACGAUUUGAAACCACUUGAAAUAUUUUCAGGCAACCUGGACUAACUCUGAAAUAUAUUUAAUUUGCUAUACCUAUUUACCUAGUACACAGUCAGACUUUCAUUUCAAUUAUUUUAGUAAAUGACAUGUCAAUCACACAUCAUACUUUUUCUUUAUUGUUAUUAAUGUAUUUUUAAUAUUUACUGCUACAAAGAUAGUCAUUAACUUAGUUUACAUAUCAAAAAGCAGAGCAUGGAGACAGCUUUCAUGAAAUACAGCAGUAGGUAGUAGUUAUUGCUUCUUAAAAUACACAUUCUACUUUCAGUGGCAAUGACUCUUAGAGAAAGGAGGAAAUAUGCCCAUUGUAUCAGACCAUACAACCAUUUUACAGUUGAAAGAGCAAAUUAAGACUUGUUCUUGAACAAUGGAACAAAGCAUAAAGUAGAAUUUCUGUUAAUUGGGGCCACCCAAAGCAGAUGAGUUUUGUUGUACUAACUACACCAUACCAGUACAGCUAUGUAGAUAAAGUCCCAGUAGUAGCGGUUAGGAUGAGUUUCUCUCCUGUGCAAUUUCUAUGGUGCUGUGUAGUAAGGCCAUGCCACUAUAUCGUCUUCCAUGUCAGUUAGACAUAAUGUAGAGCUGUGUAUAAGUAUCAGAAUAGUUUGGGUUGGAAGGGACCUUUACAGAUCAAGGUCAACCCCCCUGCCACAAGUGGGGACUUCUUUCACUAGACCAAGUUGCUCUAAGCCUCUUCCAACCUGGCCUUGAACUCUUCCAGGGAUGAGGCAUCCACAGCUUCUCUGGGCAACCUGUGCCAGUGCCUCACUACCCUCAGAGUGAAGAAUUUCUUCCUUAUAUUUAAUGCAAAUCUAUAUCAGUUUAAAACCAUUACCCCUUGUCCUAUCACUACACGCUCUUGUAAAAAGUCCCUCUCCAUCUUUCUUACAAGCCCCCUUUAAAUAUUGAAAGACAUCAAUGAGGUCUCACUGGAGCGUUCUCUUCUCCAGGCUGAAUUCCCCAGCUAUAUCAGCCUGUCUUCACAGGAGAAGUGCUCCAGCCCUCUGAUCCCCUCUGAUCAUCCUUGUGGCCCUCCUCUGGACCUGCUCUAGCAGGUCCUCAUCUUUCUUGGGCUGGGGGGCCCAGACCUGGAUGCAGUACUGCAGGUGGGAUCUCACAGGAGAAUCACAUAACCUCAUUAACUUAAUCUGCUGUGCAAGUUGAGAGAAUCUCAGUCUCCAUCUACAUUAGUAAUUCCUGUGGCAUGCUCAGAGUAGAUCUAUGAAGAGAGGUGAUUGGUGCUGAUGACCCAGUAUCCACAUCAAGUAGCUUUAAAAGCCAGGGGAAUUACUUAAGGUAAGCACUAGUGUGGUCACAUAGACUGGAUGCCCACUAGAAUUUUGAAAAGAAUUUUUUGAGUUAGUUUCAUUCCAAAGCAUUCAAGUUUGCACACACUGAGACAGGUCUGCAGUGCUGAUAAAACUGAGCUGUGAGACUGAUUCAGAACUCUGACCUGAUCUGCCUUUGUCCUUAGCUUUGAUAGAGAUGGAUUGAGGCCAAAUUUCAAGACUGGUUUAACACCUGAUAAAACAGUGACUUGAGAAAAGGAUCCUUGCAAACAAGCCUAAAAGAAACCAGCACUGCAGGAGAGGAACUGGUAGAAAAGUUGAACAUAAGCCAGCACUGUGCCUCUCCAGCUAUGACGGCCUGCCUUAUAAGAGGCUGUUUUAGAAAGAGAGCAGCCAUCUGUGGUGCUGUGUCCUCUUUGAUGAACUCAUCCUUGAGAUAAAUCAUAGAAUCAUAGAAUAUCCCGAGUUGGAAGGGACCCAUAAGGACCAUCAAGUCCAACUCCUGGCACCGCACAGGUCUGCUCAAAGGUUUAGACCAUGUGACUAAGUGCACGGUGCAAUCGCUUUGUAAAUACAGACAGGCUUGGUGCAGUGACUACUUCACUGGGGAGCCUGGUCCAGUGUGCAACAACCAUCUCGCUGAAGAACCUCUUCCUAAUGUCCAGCCUAAACUUGCCCUGCCUCAAUUUAACACCAUUCCCGCGGGUCCUAUCACUGGUGUUUACAGUGAACAGGUCAUCUGCCUCCCCACUCCCCCUCAGCGAGGAAGUUGUAGACCGCAAUGAGGUCCCCCCUCAGCCUCCUCUCCUCCAGGCUGAACAGGCCCAGUGCCCUCAGCCACUCCUCAUAUGUCUUCCCCUCUAGGCCCUUCACCAUCUUCAUUGCCCUCCUCUGGACACUCUCCAACAGUUUGAUGCCCUUUUUGUACUGUUGUGCCCAGAACUGCACACAGUUCUUGAGGUGAGGCCGCACCAGCGCAGAGUAGAGCGGGACAAUCACCUCCCUCGACUGACCAGCGAUGCUGUGCUUGAUGCAUCCCAGGAUAUGGUUGGCCUUCA
Anas platyrhynchos (mallard) is the source of this 3123-nucleotide long non-coding RNA. RefSeq lists it as uncharacterized. Lineage: Eukaryota; Metazoa; Chordata; Aves; Anseriformes; Anatidae. The record is from RefSeq and is a predicted model, not a curated record.